ACGGAGGGUGCAAGCGUUAUCCGGAAUUACUGGGUUUAAAGGGUGCGUAGGCGGCAUGAUAAGUCAGAGGUGAAAGAGUGGAGCUUAACUCCAAAACUGCCUUUGAAACUAUCAAGCUUGAAUUACGUUGAGGUUAGCGGAAUGUGACAUGUAGCGGUGAAAUGCAUAGAUAUGUCAUAGAACACCAAUUGCGAAGGCAGCUAACUAGGCGUAUAUUGACGCUGAGGCACGAAAGCGUGGGGAGCGAACAGG
RNAcentral lists this ribosomal RNA (252 nucleotides) under uncultured bacterium. Its description in RNAcentral is "partial 16S ribosomal RNA". It matches the Rfam family "Bacterial small subunit ribosomal RNA", at positions 525 to 776 of the family's 1533-position model. The record is from RNAcentral.